The sequence is a ribosomal RNA, 444 nucleotides long. It matches the Rfam family "Eukaryotic large subunit ribosomal RNA", at positions 2421 to 2826 of the family's 3401-position model.
CUUGACUCUAGUCUGGCACUGUAAGGAGACAUGAGAGGUGUAGCAUAAGUGGGAGAGCCCGGUCAAACGGGCUCGACGUUGAAAUACCACUACUUUCAUCGUUUCUUUACUUACUUGGUGAGGCGGAGGGCGCGCGUCGUUCCCUGUGUUCGGCGCGCGGUCUUCUGGAACCAAGGAAGGCGAGCAGCAAAGAUCCUUGCCGGUCGAUCCGAUCCAAGGACACUGCCAGGCGGGGAGUUUGACUGGGGCGGUACAUCUGUCAAAGAAUAACGCAGGUGUCCUAAGGCCAGCUCAGCGAGGACAGAAACCUCGCGUGGAGCAAAAGGGCAAAAGCUGGCUUGAUCCCGAUGUUCAGUAAGCAUAGGGACUGCGAAAGCACGGCCCAUCGAUCCUUUUGGCUUGGAGAGUUUCCAGCAAGAGGUGUCAGAAAAGUUACCACAGGGA